CUUGUGUUUGAAAGGCAAAGGGAAUUUUGCUUGGUUUCUGUAAUUCCUGGGGGUUCCUACGGGCUAUCCUGAUAAGCAGCCAGCUGAUUUAAGGAGUCCUAAUAGGCAUUUUCUUGAUUUUAUCCAACACCUCCGUACUGCCUCAACCACCCAGCCAAGCUCUCAUGUUGACUUUCAGCCAUUGUGACAAGGCACUGUCAAUCAUCAGGUCCCUUUACCAGGAGGGCCCAUGUCAUAAGCCACUAUAUAAAGGGAACGAUGGGUAGACGGCUUUGGACAAAUGGACUUGGGGUAGGAGAGAGGGCCAACAGUGGGGGCAAAAAGAUCUUUCUGUUUCACCCAAAACCUUGUGCUGACCAUAGCCAAGGAACGGAAGAAGAUGGUAAAAGCCUGCAGAUGUAGGUGUUCAGCAUGCCAUCUGAAAUAUUCCCCACAGAGGCAAAAAGCCAGGAAAUUAUUUCUGAAAAGGAAUGGGAAGACAAGUCAGCAGAAUAUGUCAAUGUUUUGGUUGAAGAAGCUGCUUGAAUUUGUGCUUUUCUGUAACAUGUGCUCUCCCACAGCCAGCACAGAGAAGGGCUUUUGGUGCAGGCCCAAGACCACCAUAAUCAUCAUUGAUUAUUCCUCUCCACCCCAGGGUCUCUAAAUAAAACGUCUCUUCUUUCUCUGA
Saimiri boliviensis boliviensis (Bolivian squirrel monkey) is the source of this 667-nucleotide long non-coding RNA. RefSeq lists it as uncharacterized. Lineage: Eukaryota; Metazoa; Chordata; Mammalia; Primates; Cebidae. The record is from RefSeq and is a predicted model, not a curated record.